Molecule: ribosomal RNA, 305 nt
Filed under: uncultured bacterium
Lineage: Bacteria
Description: partial 16S ribosomal RNA
Rfam family: Bacterial small subunit ribosomal RNA
Source: RNAcentral
ACAGCAGUCGCCGCGGGAAUACGAAGGGGGCUAGCGUUGCUCGGAAUUACUGGGCGUAAAGGGCGCGUAGGCGGACAGUUUAGUCGGGGGUGAAAGCCCGGGGCUCAACCUCGGAAUUGCCUUCGAUACUGGCUGUCUUGAGUACGGGAGAGGUGAGUGGAACUCCGAGUGUAGAGGUGAAAUUCGUAGAUAUUCGGAAGAACACCAGUGGCGAAGGCGACUCACUGGCCCGUUACUGACGCUGAGGCGCGAAAGCGUGGGGAGCAAACAGGAUUAGAUACCCCUGUAGUCCCUGUCUCUUAUAA